GUUCGCACCCCGUUUAUUUAUCAGCAGACUUAUGACGUCGGCGGUCGAUUUACGUCACGGGACAUGACGUCAUCACUGCAAGCUACGUGCUACGUGAAAGAGACAUAUAUGAUGCUGUACUGACAUUGGUGGCGCACAUCAACAAAUGCUCUCCGCACUGUUUUGUGUGUUUAUUGUUUCACAUAGGUGAUUUAUCGCUGCUUAGGGCCAGCGGCCCAUCGGACAGUCUUGAGAAGACCGCCGCACGCUGUUUGCAGUCCGUCGACCACCUGUCUUCAACGGACGGACGCCCUCGGUCCCACUCAGCAAUUGACUGAAGCCUAUCGCGCCGAUAUGCUCGCUCAUCUUCCAUCCUCGCCCUGCCUGAUUGUUUCGACGACCCGGGCUGUGGUCCCUGAGGUUCGGAACCCGUCUCGCUGGCCUGCCAGCAGGAGGCCUGGCGCUCGUCGCAGACGAGCGCUGCAGUGUGGCCA
This 473-nucleotide long non-coding RNA is filed under the name Amphibalanus amphitrite. RNAcentral's name for it is "uncharacterized LOC122374674". Lineage: Eukaryota; Metazoa; Arthropoda; Thecostraca; Balanomorpha; Balanidae. The record is from RNAcentral.